ACCCUUAGAUGUUCUGGGCCGCACGCGUGCUACACUGAGUGGAUCAGCGGGUCAGGUUGCGCGAAAGUGUUUCCUAAUCUUGAAAUCCGCUCGUGAUGGGGAUUGACGGUUGCAAUUUUCCGUCAUGAACGAGGAAUACCUUGUAAGCGCGGGUCAUCAUCCCGCGCUGAAUACGUCCCUGCCCUUUGUACACACCGCCCGUCGCUCCUACCGACUGAGUGGUCCGGUGAGGCUUUGGGAUCUGAGCAAAAAGAGCGUUUCGCUCGUUUGGCUCGGAAAACUCAGUCGAACCUUAUCAUUUAGAGGAAGGAGAAGUCGUAACA
Molecule: ribosomal RNA, 323 nt
Filed under: uncultured eukaryote
Lineage: Eukaryota
Description: partial 18S ribosomal RNA
Rfam family: Eukaryotic small subunit ribosomal RNA
Source: RNAcentral